UACGUAGGGGGCUAGCGUUGUCCGGAAUCAUUGGGCGUAAAGCGCGUGUAGGCGGUCCGGUAAGUCCGCUGUGAAAGUCGGGGGCUCAACCCUCGGAUGCCGGUGGAUACUGUCGGGCUUGAGUACGGAAGAGGCGAGUGGAAUUCCUGGUGUAGCGGUGAAAUGCGCAGAUAUCAGGAGGAACACCAAUGGCGAAGGCAGCUCUCUGGUACGUGACUGACGCUGAGACGCGAAAGCGUGGGAAGCAAACAGG
Molecule: ribosomal RNA, 253 nt
Filed under: uncultured bacterium
Lineage: Bacteria
Description: partial 16S ribosomal RNA
Rfam family: Bacterial small subunit ribosomal RNA
Source: RNAcentral